This 519-nucleotide ribosomal RNA is filed under the name uncultured eukaryote. RNAcentral describes it as "SSU rRNA". It matches the Rfam family "Eukaryotic small subunit ribosomal RNA", at positions 1161 to 1699 of the family's 1831-position model. The record is from RNAcentral.
AGGGCACCACCAGGAGUGGAGCCUGCGGCUUAAUUUGACUCAACACGGGAAAACUCACCCGGCCCGGACACUGGAAGGAUUGACAGAUUGAGAGCUCUUUCUUGAUUCAGUGGGUGGUGGUGCAUGGCCGUUCUUAGUUGGUGGAGUGAUUUGUCUGGUUAAUUCCGAUAACGAACGAGACUCUAGCCUACUAAAUAGAUCGUCGGCUUACAAACGCCGGCGAGACUUCUUAGAGGGACAGGCGGUGAUUCAACCGCACGAAACAGAGCAAUAACAGGUCUGUGAUGCCCUUAGAUGUCCGGGGCCGCACGCGCGCUACACUGAAGUGAUCAGCGUGCUUUUUCAACCUACUCUGUCAAGAGUGGGGAACCCAAUGAACCUUCUUCGUGAUUGGGAUAGGGGAUUGUAAUUGUUCCCCUUGAACGAGGAAUUCCCAGUAAGCGCGAGUCAUAAGCUCGCGUUGAUUACGUCCCUGCCCUUUGUACACACCGCCCGUCGCUACUACCGAUUGGAUGCUUU